GACGUAGGGCGCGAGCGUUGUCCGGAUUUAUUGGGCGUAAAGAGCUCGUAGGCGGCUUGUUGCGUCGACCGUGAAAACCCGGGGCUCAACUUCGGGCUUGCGGUCGAUACGGGCGGGCUAGAGUUCGGUAGGGGAGACUGGAAUUCCCGGUGUAGUGGUGAAAUGCGUAGAGAUCGGGAGGAACACCAGUGGCGAAGGCGGCCGGCUGGGGGUGACCUGACGCUGAGGCGCGAAAGCGUGGGGAGCGAACCGG
This 253-nucleotide ribosomal RNA is filed under the name uncultured bacterium. RNAcentral's name for it is "partial 16S ribosomal RNA". It matches the Rfam family "Bacterial small subunit ribosomal RNA", at positions 524 to 776 of the family's 1533-position model. The record is from RNAcentral.